This is a long non-coding RNA of Rosa rugosa (rugosa rose), 931 nucleotides long. RefSeq lists it as uncharacterized. The record is from RefSeq and is a predicted model, not a curated record. NCBI's taxonomy places the organism in Eukaryota, Viridiplantae, Streptophyta, Magnoliopsida, Rosales, Rosaceae. The transcript is spliced from 6 exons.
CUCUCUCGCUCUCACUCGAGUCUCUUCAAUGUUCUACACUUUCGCCUCUCUUCCUCUCUUCACUUCAAUGUUCUACACUUCCGCCUCUCUCCUUCCUCUCUCACUCGAGGCUGAAGAUGAUUGUUUGGUGCGGUCGAUCCUCAUCUACUCUCAUGCUUUUCCUUCUAUGGUUUUAUUGGAUCUGCUACCGAUCUACAAAAUCCAUCAGAUAGCAGAUGCUGCUACUGGAACAAUCCAAGCCUGAGAUCGGUGGCUAAACUUCCUCUAGUUGGCCUCAUCAGGUUUGGGAAGUGGGUUUCUCUGGGACUUUGGGAACGGUGGAUCUGAGACUGAUUUGGGCAAAGGCUGUAACUUGAAAAGAAUCCUCAGGUUUGUGCUCCUGCAACAAAGCAUCCAAUUGAAGCGAUUCUGAGGCUGUUUCCUAGACCACAUUAAAAAACAAAGAGAGGUUUAUUCUCAAGCAAUGCAUCAUUUGACACUUUGCAGGAGGCGGUGACCAAUGUAGACAAAUGUGGCUAAAAGCAACUUCCAGCAUUUUCAUUGCUUUUACAAAAGUAUUUACUGAAAAGUUUUGUAUAGUGGCGUGCAUGGUUGUUUGCUACUAUCUUGUUCUUCAUUUUCACAUGCCUUGAUAAGUUGAUAUAACCCAGGGUAGCUGAUGGGAGGCGCUUGCUUGUGCUCGUCGUCUUCAUCGGAGGUGUAACAUUCGUUGUCUUCAGAAAUGCCUUUCAAUUUCUCAAUUCUCAGGCUACAAGCUGCUCUUGGUAGUUGCCCUGGGAGAGAUCCACAAGCGCAAGUAGCAGAGUUUGUGUUUACUGGGUAGAAGAGUGAUUUGCUCCUUUUUUUGUGAUUCUUUCAGUUAUGUAUAUGGUUAAUGGGUUGCUCUUUUAGUUUUUUAUUUUAUAUUAAAUAAGGCUCCAAUGGCCCUUUU